ACUUUCAACAACGGAUCUCUUGGCUCUCGCAUCGAUGAAGAACGCAGCGAAAUGCGAUAAGUAAUGUGAAUUGCAGAAUUCCGUGAAUCAUCGAAUCUUUGAACGCACCUUGCGCUCUUUGGUAUUCCGGAGAGCAUGCUUGUUUCAGUCUCAAUA
RNAcentral lists this ribosomal RNA (156 nucleotides) under Entrophospora sp. JJ38. Its description in RNAcentral is "5.8S ribosomal RNA". It matches the Rfam family "5.8S ribosomal RNA". From Rfam's summary of the family: 5.8S ribosomal RNA (5.8S rRNA) is a component of the large subunit of the eukaryotic ribosome. It is transcribed by RNA polymerase I as part of the 45S precursor that also contains 18S and 28S rRNA. Lineage: Eukaryota; Fungi; Glomeromycota; Glomeromycetes; Entrophosporales; Entrophosporaceae. The record is from RNAcentral.